Regulatory RNA element from Pediococcus acidilactici DSM 20284, 373 nucleotides. It matches the Rfam family "cspA thermoregulator". NCBI's taxonomy places the organism in Bacteria, Bacillati, Bacillota, Bacilli, Lactobacillales, Lactobacillaceae. The record is from Rfam.
AAUGUGCUUUUGGUUAGGUGCUUUUGGUCAGAUUGUUUUAUUGUGAACUAUCCCCAUUACUACCGGCUCAAGCUACAAAUUUUAAAACAGCCAUGCAUCAUGGUUUUACAGGAGGAUGUUCAUAAUGGAACAAGGUACAGUUAAAUGGUUUAACGCAGACAAAGGUUUUGGUUUUAUUACUCGCGAAGAUGGUAGUGACGUAUUCGUUCACUUCUCAGCUAUCCAAAGCGACGGCUUCAAGACUCUUGAAGAAGGCCAAUCAGUUAGCUUCGAUGUUGAAGAAAGCGACCGCGGACCUCAAGCCGUAAACGUUGAAAAAAACUAAUUUAAAAAAUUACUGAAAAAGCAGGGUGCUUCGGCACGCUGCUUUUUU